RNAcentral lists this long non-coding RNA (1070 nucleotides) under Struthio camelus australis. Its description in RNAcentral is "lncRNA (ENSSCUG00000007346.1)". The record is from RNAcentral. Lineage: Eukaryota; Metazoa; Chordata; Aves; Struthioniformes; Struthionidae.
CCAGCCGCCAGCGGGCUGCUGCUGCUGUUGGUACUAUUGUGUUCGUUGUUUUAAUGGAAUCAGCUGUGGUUCCCUGCGGUUAAGCCGGCAAAGGCAGUAGGAGAGACCUGGGAAAACAUUAAGAUAAAUACCGUUUCAAAACCCUUGGCAGUUUCCAUAUUGCCUUGUUGGAGAUCGCCGUAAGGUAAGAGCAGUCGGAAAAGCUCUUUGCCCAGGGCGAGUGGCUUGUGGAGGGCCAGCGGGGUUUUCUCUCGGUGGGGACCGGUGCUGCCAUGCAGCCCCCAUUGCAGUGCAGAGGCCGGACACCAAACUGGUACUGUGCAAACCCUGUGCAAAUCCCUGCUGUGCUGGUUACGCAGCACUGUUUAUUGUUGGGGAGAAAAACCUCAUGACGAGCGUGCCUCACUCUGUCCGAGUAAGCUCUGAUUCAUAGCUGUGCAGCAUGCUGAGGUACUGCAGCUUUUGAGGUACUGUAGCUUUUAAGGUGCGUUCAAAGCGCAGACUUAUUGUGGAUCGCUUUUUCUGUUUGGGACUAUCUUGUUGCUUUGGGCUUGUCAUGGAUUGAGUUACCUGUGAGGGAUGGUAGGGAAAAUGAACAAACUUCCUGUGCGGGAGGAAAAGAGAAAGAUUUUUCCCGUAGAUGUAAAACAUCUUCAGCCUAGGAAGAUAUGGAAGAAUGACUAUAAAUCAUCAUGAUCAGCAGUCAAAGUUUCUUCUUAUUGAGAAGCCUAGGAAAAGUGCAUGACUGAUCAGAUUUGUCCCAAAGAAAGUGGGCGCUAAAUCUCUUACAAAAAGCUCUGAAAACAAACCCUGUCAGCAUUAUAGGUUUGCAACUAUUGACAAUCUCUAGUUAGAAAUAUUUUUCCUUGGUUAUAUUUGGAAGCCUUUUAGGAUCUUACCUCUUAUUGUUUGGGUUUGUAAUUUGAGUACAUCAAGAUAAGUCUUGCUCUCAUUUGUGCUUGCAGCUUUUCCCGUGUAGAUAUCUGCAAACUCAUUUCUCCCUUCCUUUCCCUUACUUAACAAUAUUUGUGUAAAAUAAAAAUAAAUGGAUGUGUAUUUUGUACCGUAUG